AAACACGACCGUUGCACGCGUGACAGAAAGCUGCCGGGGAGGCGCUCGCCGCCUCCCCGGCCCCACCGGCCUCUACCCUCUCGCCCUCCGGGCGUGUCGGUCGCUGGCCGGAAUACGGCGCGGGAUGACGCCAAGGAACACGAGAAAGCUGAGGCGCCGGCGAGCCGCUCGAGGUCUGCGCCGGUUGCUGAGGCCAAUGAAAAAAAAAUAUGACUCUCGGCAACGGAUAUCUCGGCUCUCGCAUCGAUGAAGAACGUAGCGAAAUGCGAUACGUGGUGUGAAUUGCAGAAUCCCGUGAACCAUCGAGUCUUUGAACGCAAGUUGCGCCCGAGGGACCCUCCCGAGGGCACGCCUGCCUCAUGGGCGUUAGAAGCCCAUCCACGCUCGGCUGCCUCACGGCAGAGAUGCGGACAUUGGCCCUCCGAACCGCGAGGUGCGGUGGGCCUAAGUGUGCGGCCGUCGUACGUGGCCGGGAGCGGCGAGUGGUGGGCUACUGCGCACGUCACCCCGAGCCCCGUGCCGACACAGGGCCUUGUUUGACCCCCUAACGAGGAGCACGCCGCCGCGGCUCGCGCUGCGCGGCGCCUUCGGACC
This 594-nucleotide ribosomal RNA is filed under the name Carex capensis. RNAcentral describes it as "eukaryotic LSU rRNA". The stretch from base 212 to 366 matches the Rfam family "5.8S ribosomal RNA". The record is from RNAcentral. Lineage: Eukaryota; Viridiplantae; Streptophyta; Magnoliopsida; Poales; Cyperaceae.